ACACGUAGGGGGCGAGCGUUGUUCGGAAUCAUUGGGCGUAAAGGGCGUGCAGGCGGUCCUGCAAGUCCGACGUGAAAGACCCCGGCCCAACCGGGGGGACGCGCUGGAAACUGCGGGGCUUGAGUACAGGAGGGGAUGCCGGAAUUCCAGGUGUAGGGGGGAAAUCUGUAGAUAUCUGGAAGAACACCAAUGGCGAAGGCAGGCAUCUGGCCAUGUACUGACGCUGAGACGCGAAGGUGCGGGGAGCAAACAGGUUUAGAUACCCUGGUAGUCCGCACAGUAAACGAUGUGCACCAGGUGGCGGGGGGUCGACCCUCGGUACCGUAGCUAACGCAUUAAGUGCACCGCCUGGGGAGUAUGCUCGCAAGGGUGAAACUCAAAUGAAUUGACGGGG
This 394-nucleotide ribosomal RNA is filed under the name uncultured bacterium. RNAcentral's name for it is "partial 16S ribosomal RNA". It matches the Rfam family "Bacterial small subunit ribosomal RNA", at positions 523 to 918 of the family's 1533-position model. The record is from RNAcentral.